This 226-nucleotide ribosomal RNA is filed under the name uncultured bacterium. Its description in RNAcentral is "partial 16S ribosomal RNA". It matches the Rfam family "Bacterial small subunit ribosomal RNA", at positions 122 to 334 of the family's 1533-position model. The record is from RNAcentral.
UAAUCUACCUUUGGAUGGGGAAUAACAAUCGGAAACGGUUGCUAAUACCGCAUAAUGCAGCGGCACCUAAUGGUGACAGUUGUUAAAGCGGGGAUCGAAAGACCUCGCGUCUGAAGAGGAGCCUGCGGCGGAUUAGCUAGUUGGUAAGGUAACGGCUUACCAAGGCUAUGAUCCGUAGCCGGCCUGAGAGGGCGGUCGGCCACACUGACACUGACAUACGGGUCAG